RNAcentral lists this ribosomal RNA (492 nucleotides) under uncultured bacterium. RNAcentral's name for it is "partial 16S ribosomal RNA". It matches the Rfam family "Bacterial small subunit ribosomal RNA", at positions 29 to 507 of the family's 1533-position model. The record is from RNAcentral.
AGUGAACGCUGGCGGUAGGCCCAACACAUGCAAGUCGAACGGUAGCACAGUAAGAGCUUGCUCUUACGGGUGGCGAGUGGCGGACGGGUGAGGAAUACAUCGGAAUCUACUUUUUCGUGGGGGAUAACGUAGGGAAACUUACGCUAAUACCGCAUACGACCUACGGGUGAAAGCAGGGGAUCUUCGGACCUUGCGCGAUUGAAUGAGCCGAUGUCGGAUUAGCUAGUUGGCGGGGUAAAGGCCCACCAAGGCGACGAUCCGUAGCUGGUCUGAGAGGAUGAUCAGCCACACUGGAACUGAGACACGGUCCAGACUCCUACGGGAGGCAGCAGUGGGGAAUAUUGGACAAUGGGCGCAAGCCUGAUCCAGCCAUACCGCGUGGGUGAAGAAGGCCUUCGGGUUGUAAAGCCCUUUUGUUGGGAAAGAAAAGCAGCAGGUUAAUACCCCGCUGUUCUGACGGUACCCAAAGAAUAAGCACCGGCUAACUUCGUG